This is an RNA transcript of Tachysurus fulvidraco (yellow catfish), 2625 nucleotides long. It is a transcript of the gene named CMRF35-like molecule 2, with no coding region annotated. The record is from RefSeq and is a predicted model, not a curated record. NCBI's taxonomy places the organism in Eukaryota, Metazoa, Chordata, Actinopteri, Siluriformes, Bagridae. The transcript has 6 exons.
AGCAGCAUUUCUAUUUAAAACACAGAUGAAGGCACAACACAUUCAGAACAGGCACAGACCAGGAGAUUUAUUAUCUUUCUAAAAUAGAGUUGGUGUAAAGAUCUGUGAGAGUGAACUCAGGAUGAAUAUCCUCCUCAUCUUCACCCUCUGUCUGAUCUCAGAUGGAGGAGCCUCAAAUGAAGUAACAGGAUAUUCAGGAGGAGGAAUCCUUAUCAAGUGCAAGUAUGGUGCAAAGGUCACACAAAGCCCAAAAUAUUUCUGUAAGGGUUCAAUGUCAGUCUGUUCUGACCAAAUAAAGACAGGAAAUAAAAACCAGUGGGUAAAUUCAGGAAGAUACUCACUGUUUGAUGACACCAAAUCAUCAGCGUUCUGGGUGAUGAUAAGAGAGCUCACUGUACUGGACACGGGGAUGUACCAGUGUGGAGUUAAUGUAACCACAGGAAAUGAUAUUAAGACAUCAGUGGAACUGAAGAUAAAGGAAGAUCUGUCCUAUAAGAGGUCCAUCAGUAAGACUGUUCAUGCAGGAGGCAACUUGACUGUCAGCUGUAAAUACCCAAAAUCCCUCAAGAGUCACCCUAAGUUUGUCUGCAGGAGGCUGCAAACUGCUGCUUGUUCUUAUAAUACAUCUGUUAAAGAAAGUACAAAAUAUGUAAAAACUGGGAAAAUAUCCCCGUAUGAUGACAGAGAAAACAAAUCUUUAGUGUGAGUAUUAGAGAUGUAACUGAGCAGGACUCUGGUGAGUAUUGGUGUGGAGCUGAAGUACCUUGCAGAUCUGAUCAGGGAUACAAGGUUUAUUUCACACGGAUCGACCUGACAGUCACUGGAUUUCCAGCUUCCACUGUGAUCGCUGUGUCUGUAAUUCUGCUGCUGCUUCUGAUUGGAAUCAUAAUCCUCAUUCUGACUCUAAAAAACAGACACAAGAUGCAAGCAGGCACUUUCCAAAAUUCAGGAAAUGACCAAGGGGUUCCUCUUGAUGUUCAUGAAUAUGAGGAGAUUAAAAUCACCAGACGACUUUCUGCCUCAAACGCUGAAAUGUCCACAGUUUACGUUACUGCUCAACUACCCACAAUCUCCGCUGAUCGUCAUGCUGCAUAUACAGAGUUACCCACAAAACCCUGUGAUUCAGCUGUUUAUUCUUUUGCUCAACAUUUACAUUUACAUUUACGGCAUUUAGCAGACACCCUUAUCCAGAGUGACUUACAACUGAGCAACUGAGGGUUAAGGGCCUUGCUCAGGGGCCCAGUAGUGGCAGCUUGGUGGACCUGGUGGUUCGACCUGGUGGUUCGAACCCAUGACCUUCCGAUCAGUAGCCCAACACCUUAACCACUGAGCUACCACAUCCCCCAACUGCCCACAAUCCCCUCUGAUCAGAACAUCUACUCCAAAGCUCAGUUACCAACAUGUCUCAGUGCUCAGUGCUCGACUAACUGAAACACAAUGGAAAUACAAUAUAGUUUAUAUAUUGUAUAGUAAUUUAUUUUUAAUGAUCAUGCUGACUGAUACAGACCUCUGUGCUCAUAACUGCUGUUUUUCAGCUCUCUAGCAGAAACAUUCUGGAAACAUCUAAAGGAGCACAUUUAUUUAUAUUAUUACUCUGUUAUGAGAUAUUUACAUUAACUUUUACGGCAUUUAGCAACCACCUUAACCCAAAGCAACGUACAAAAGUGCUUUUAAGUCUCUAUCGAUAAAUACAUUAACAAUGGCUCACUAGGUUACAGAGUUAGAAUACCAUCAACCUAAAUCUCUAUUCAAGUUUUUUUUAAAUAUGCACAUACAACAAACAGGGAAGUGAUAGUUCAUAUCAUAAAAAGUGCUAGAUAUAAUAUUAUUGAUAUUUAAUAAAUCUUUUAGUGACGAACUAAUGAGCAGAAUGUUAAAUAAUAAAAAAACACAUUCUGUUGUUUCUAAGUAACAUAGAAAGUAGAAUCAAAUGAGAUGCAAUAAAAUGAGGUCUUUACUUAAACCAAUACAUACUGUAUAAAAUUAAUACUUUGACUUAAGACUCCUAUAGAUCAGGAGCAGAAGAGCAGAGGUGACCGUGCCUUUGCAGUAGCGGCCACGAAACUCUGGAAUAAUUUGCCUUUGUACAUUAGGCAAGCACCUUCACUGGCUGUUUUUAAAUUACAUUUAAAACAUAUUUGUAUAGUGCAGCAUACAACACAGUAUGAUAGUUACCUGUUAGGAGUUCUUUUUAAGUGUGUGUUACUAAUUAUUAUUGUAUUUAUUGCAUUUUUUAUUAUGUUUUUGUUUAUUUUCUUCUUCUUCUUCUUCUUCUUCUUCUUAUUUAAUGCUUUUUACUUCUAUUGCUUAUUUUAUAUUGUUUGUACAGCACUUUGGUGAACACCUGCUGUUUUAAAAAGGUGCUCUAUAAAUAAACUUUGAUUUGAUUUGAUAUAGAUGGCAGUAUUUACAUUUACAUUUAUGGCAUUUUGCAGAUUCCCUUACACCAAUUUUUAUUACACCAAAAUUAUAGUAGUGACACAGUUUAAGGUUCUAGUUAAGUUAAUUAACACAGAUAAGUUUUACUAAAGUUAUUUAGUAAAAUUUGACAGCCAAUUUCUCUGCUGUGUUUUAUAAAAUUAAAGUUAAAUUAGUUUUAAAUUAGCAGCCUCUAGAACCAAGAAG